RNAcentral lists this long non-coding RNA (723 nucleotides) under Heterocephalus glaber (naked mole-rat). RNAcentral's name for it is "lncRNA (ENSHGLG00000025857.2)". Lineage: Eukaryota; Metazoa; Chordata; Mammalia; Rodentia; Bathyergidae. The record is from RNAcentral.
GAAAAGCUUCCCAAGGCGCCAACCUUCAAGAUUUAAAGGGAAGUAGGGCUGAUUUAGCUCUGUUCUGGUUCUGUUUCUGCUCAGCAUUCUCAGGUCUAAGAUUCCUGGGUUGGCUUCUGAGAGGGAGGAGACAGCCACCACAGCAAGAACAGCACCAGGAGUUUUAGAUUAAAAAUGGAAAGCAGAGAGUAGGGGAUGAGGCCUGUGGGCUGAGGACUGCCUGGCUCAGAACGGUGGAGGGAGAAGGUCAAGAGGAGGAGGGGAGCCAUCAGAGCUAACUGCCCGUCACCUGCUUGCCUUCAGAAGAUGUGCCUUCCGGGACCUGGUGGAGAGCAGAUGCCAGUGAGGUGCCUGUGGAGAGAAGGAAGCGUUUUCAUGUUCAGCCACACUUCUGCGGUCAUGCAAUUGGGCUCCAGGUGUGUGGCUGUACUGUCUCCACUCCCUGGUGAUUGGAGGAGGCUGAUCACAGGUAACAGGGAAGAGGAAGAUGAUGAUGGCGGUGGUGGGGCUCCCUGUGAGUCUUGACCUGAACACUUUACCGUUGACCUUGCCUCUGGAACCUUCCCUGGUGGGGGCUCAUCAGGGCUGACAGAAUGGAGACAUGAUAUCUGGACUUGAGCAGCCACCUUGGACCACGAGAUGACAUGACAAUGACAGUGAAUUACAAAAUCAGAAGAUGACAAGUGGAGCCAUCAUAUCAACCCUGGGCUGUCUAUCUCUGGG